CGUAGGUAACCUGCCUGGUAGCGGGGGAUAACUAUUGGAAACGAUAGCUAAUACCGCAUAAGAGUAGAUGUUGCAUGACAUUUGCUUAAAAGGUGCAAUUGCAUCACUACCAGAUGGACCUGCGUUGUAUUAGCUAGUUGGUGGGGUAACGGCUCACCAAGGCGACGAUACAUGGCCGACCUGAGAGGGUGAUCGGCCACACUGGGACUGAGACACGGCCCAG
RNAcentral lists this ribosomal RNA (223 nucleotides) under uncultured bacterium. Its description in RNAcentral is "partial 16S ribosomal RNA". It matches the Rfam family "Bacterial small subunit ribosomal RNA", at positions 116 to 334 of the family's 1533-position model. The record is from RNAcentral.